RNAcentral lists this ribosomal RNA (446 nucleotides) under uncultured bacterium. Its description in RNAcentral is "partial 16S ribosomal RNA". It matches the Rfam family "Bacterial small subunit ribosomal RNA", at positions 338 to 795 of the family's 1533-position model. The record is from RNAcentral.
CCUACGGGAGGCAGCAGUCGAGAAUCAUUCACAAUGGGGGAAACCCUGAUGGUGCGACGCCGCGUGGGGGAAUGAAGGUCUUCGGAUUGUAAACCCCUGUCAUGUGGGAGCAAAUUAAAAAGAUAGUACCACAAUAUGAAGAGACGGCUAACUCUGUGCCAGCAGCCGCGGUACUACAGAGGUCUCAAGCGUUGUUCGGAAUCACUGGGCGUAAAGCGUGCGUAGGCUGUUUCGUAAGGCGUGUGUGAAAGGCGCGGGCUCAACCCGCGGAUGGCACAUGAUACUGGGAGACUAGAGUAAUGGAGGGGGAACCGGAAUUCGCGGUGUAGCAGUGAAAUGCGUAGAUAUCGAGAGGAACACUCGUGGCGAAGGCGGGUUCCUGGACAUUAACUGACGCUGAGGCACGAAGGCCAGGGGAGCGAAAGGGAUUAGAUACCCCAGUAGUC